UAGCAUAAUCAUUUGUCUUUUAGUUGGAGGCUGGUAUAAGUGGGGAGACGAUGUCUCGCCUUUCCUGGCGCACGCACGGGAAUUUGAUAUUUGCGUCAAAAAGCGCAAUUUUUUGGAAAGACGAUAAGACCCCGUAAAGCUUUACCUGGGUCCGAAGCAACAUUUGGGUGCAAAGCUGCCGUGGCAGGGGUUGAGCUGGGGCGGCAUUCAAACAACCUUGACCGAAACAACAUACACACAUGAGUUGGUGGAUCUGACACAGAGCUGGAACAAGUUACUUCGGGGAUAACAGCGCAAUUCCCUCGGAUAGAUCUUAUAGAUGGAGGAGACUUGCGACCUCGAUGUUGAAUUGAGGGGCCUGAGUCGAGCAGAAACGACUACAGGAGGUCUGUUCGACCCGUAAAACCUCA
This 410-nucleotide ribosomal RNA is filed under the name Pseudomesus sp. RNAcentral's name for it is "partial 16S ribosomal RNA". It matches the Rfam family "Bacterial large subunit ribosomal RNA", at positions 1957 to 2598 of the family's 2925-position model. Lineage: Eukaryota; Metazoa; Arthropoda; Malacostraca; Isopoda; Desmosomatidae. The record is from RNAcentral.